This 229-nucleotide ribosomal RNA is filed under the name uncultured bacterium. RNAcentral's name for it is "partial 16S ribosomal RNA". It matches the Rfam family "Bacterial small subunit ribosomal RNA", at positions 568 to 796 of the family's 1533-position model. The record is from RNAcentral.
CGUGCAGGCGGUUAGCUAAGUCUGAUGUGAAAGCCCGGGGCUUAACCUCGGAAGUGCAUUGGAUACUGGCUGACUAGAGGACGAGAGAGGGAAGUGGAAUUCCUGGUGUAGGGGUGAAAUCCGUAGAUAUCAGGAGGAACACCGGAGGCGAAGGCGGCUUCCUGGCUCGUUUCUGACGCUGAGACGCGAAAGCGUGGGGAGCAAACAGGAUUAGAUACCCUGGUAGUCC